CUACCUCCCCCUAGGAGUAAGGAGCCGAUAUCAGGCACAACACUCGCCCAAAACAUCUAGCCAUGCCACACCCACAAGGGUAUUCAGCAGUGAUUAACAUUAAAGAUAAACGUCAGUUUGACUUAGCCAAUGAAAAUAGAGCCGGCCAACCUGGUGCCAGCCGCCGCGGUUACACCACGUGGCUCAAAUUGAUUCCAUACGGCGUAAAGCGUGAUUAAAGAAAUAAACCAUCGGGGUUAAACUUAAACUAAGUUGUAAAAUACCUGUUUAUAGUAAACCUUAACUCGAAAGAUACCCCAACCCACCAACUUGAACUCACGAUAAUUAGGGUACAAACUGGGAUUAGAUACCCCACUAUGCCUAAUCAUAAACUUUUACUUACACCCCCUCCCCAUCGCCAGGGAACUACGAGCAAAGCUUAAAACCCAAAGGACUUGACGGUACCCCACACCCACCUAGAGGAGCCUGUCCUAUAACCGAUACCCCUCGUUCAACCUCACCAUUUUUAGUCUAUCAGCCUGUAUACUUCCGUCGCCAGCUUACCGCGUGAGCGAAUCAAGUAAGCUUAAUGUCAUUCAUCAGUACGUCAGGUCAAAGUGCAGUAAAUAAAGUGGCAAGAGAUGGGCUACACUCUCUAUCUUAGAAAAUACGAAAGACUGUAUGAAACUACAGUCAGAAGGUGGAUUUAGCAGUAAGAUGAAAAUAGAAUGUUCCUCUUAAUUAGGCACUGGGGUGUGUACACACCGCCCGUCACCCUCUUC
Molecule: ribosomal RNA, 761 nt
Filed under: Pristimantis galdi
Lineage: Eukaryota; Metazoa; Chordata; Amphibia; Anura; Strabomantidae
Description: partial 12S ribosomal RNA
Rfam family: Bacterial small subunit ribosomal RNA
Source: RNAcentral